RNAcentral lists this ribosomal RNA (777 nucleotides) under uncultured Neocallimastigales. RNAcentral's name for it is "partial large subunit ribosomal RNA". It matches the Rfam family "Eukaryotic large subunit ribosomal RNA", at positions 24 to 649 of the family's 3401-position model. Lineage: Eukaryota; Fungi; Neocallimastigomycota; Neocallimastigomycetes; Neocallimastigales. The record is from RNAcentral.
UUAUCUCUGUAGAGUCUGCAUAUCAAUAAGCGGAGGAAAAGAAACUAACAAGGAUUCCCUUAGUAACGGCGAGUGAAGCGGGAAGAGCUCAAAUUUGAAAUCUUCAAGGUUCUACCUUGACGAAUUGUAGUUUAAAGAAGUGUUUUCUGUUAGUGGAGUGGCAAAAGUUCUUUGGAAUAGGACAUCAUAGAGGGUGAGAAUCCCGUAUUUGGUCAUUCCUUCUAGCUUUGUGAUACACUUUCAAAGAGUCGGAUUGUUUGGGAAUGCAGUCCAAAAUGGGUGGUAAAUUUCAUCUAAAGCUAAAUACUGGCGAGAGACCGAUAGCGAACAAGUACCGUGAGGGAAAGAUGAAAAGAACUUUGAAAAGAGAGUUAAACAGUACGUGAAAUUGUCAAAAGGGAAGCGUUUGACACCAGUGUUGCUUUUCUCGAAAAUCAAUUAAAAAUGCUGGAUUUUGUGUUGUAUUGACUUUAUCAGCUUUCUGCACUCUUUUUCCUACCUUUUUUAAUGCACUUUUCGUUUAACAAGUCAACAUCAAUUUCUUUUGUUGUAAAAGAGUCAUUGGAAGGUGGCUUUCUUUUCGGAGAAAGUGUUUAUAGCCUUUGGACUUCUGCAAUCGGAGAGAUUGAGGUCUGCAGCGUAGAUCCUUCGGGGUUAGAUACAUUUGUGCUAAGUUAUAGCCUUUCAUAGACAACUUGUUGACUAUGAUCAGUCAUGUAGCUUACUCGCUUAUGCUAUUUUACCUACGCUUAGGAUGUUGAGUAGCGACAUACGCAC